CUUCGGGCGGAAGACUUUAUUUCGAGUGGCGGACGGGUGAGUAACGCGUGGGUAACCUGCCUCAUACAGGGGGAUAACAGUUGGAAACGACUGUUAAUACCGCAUAAGACCACAGCACCGCAUGGUGCAGGGGUAAAAACUCCGGUGGUAUGAGAUGGACCCGCGUUCGAUUAGCCAGUUGGCGGGGUAACGGCCCACCAAAGCGACGAGCGAUAGCCGAUCUGAGAGGAUGACCGGCCACAUUGGGACUGAGACACGGCCCAAACUCCUACGGGAGGCAGCAGUGGGGAAUAUUGCACAAUGGGGGAAACCCUGAUGCAGCGACGCCGCGUGAGUGAAGAAGUAUUUCGGUAUGUAAAGCUCUAUCAGCAGGGAAGAAAAUGACGGUACCUGAGUAAGAAGCCCCGGCUAACUACGUGCCAGCAGCCGCGGUAAUACGUAGGGGGCAAGCGUUAUCCGGAUUUACUGGGUGUAAAGGGAGCGCAGACGGCUCUGCAAGUCUGAAGUGAAAGCCCGCGGCUUAACCGCGGGACUGCUUUGGAAACUGCAAGGCUUGAGUAUCGGAGGGGCAGGCGGAAUUCCUAGUGUAGCGGUGAAAUGCGUAGAUAUUAGGAAGAACACCGGUGGCGAAGGCGGCCUGCUGGACGAAAACUGACGUUGAGGCUCGAAGGCGUGGGGAGCAAACAGGAUUAGAUACCCUGGUAGUCCACGCGGUAAACGAUGAAUACUAGGUGUUGGUGCCCGAAGGGC
This 750-nucleotide ribosomal RNA is filed under the name uncultured Lachnospiraceae bacterium. RNAcentral's name for it is "SSU rRNA". It matches the Rfam family "Bacterial small subunit ribosomal RNA", at positions 78 to 838 of the family's 1533-position model. Lineage: Bacteria; Bacillati; Bacillota; Clostridia; Lachnospirales; Lachnospiraceae. The record is from RNAcentral.